This is a long non-coding RNA of Zonotrichia leucophrys gambelii, 2263 nucleotides long. RefSeq lists it as uncharacterized. Lineage: Eukaryota; Metazoa; Chordata; Aves; Passeriformes; Passerellidae. The record is from RefSeq and is a predicted model, not a curated record. The transcript is spliced from 2 exons.
GCUAUCUGUCUCAUUUCAAUUCAGAGCUAUAGAGUAUCAUCUGUGGCGUGAAAAUAUAAAGGGAAAUGAGCUACUACCUGCUUGCUGCAGCUGUUGAGGCAGUCAGGGACAUCGGUCUUACUCAGGGACAAAUUAGGGCCAAGAGGCACAGUCAAGGUAUUGCCCAGUUUAAGGCACAGUGUUUCCCAAAAAGUUAAAAGCCUUUAAUUUAGCUUUUGAAUUAGGAAGAUUAAAUACCAACAUUUCAUUUUGUUUCGCUUGUCCUCCUGUACUCAAGGUGGUGGCUAAGAAAGGUGUAGAGCACAGGUAAGUCAGGCAAUAAGCAAAGCAAGCCCUCCAGCAGAAUAAGAACUGUCCUACUGCCUCCAUCAUGCAGAGCUGUGCCAGCAACAGGACCUUCCCCAGUCCCAGAGAGAAGCAGAGGACCAGCGACCCAUCUGGUGCUUCGAGGCCUGGUGCACGGCAGUGACUGCCACGGGUUGAAAGAGUCCAUGAGCCAGCCAGCAAAGAUACAACGCAGGAGACUGCAAGAUGAAGGCUGUUCUGUGGCUCACAUGGAUGUGGAAGAGUGAAGAUGAAAGACUACCCAAGCUCAUCUGUAUGAAAACUGUGAAACUGCUUGGAAAAUAUGGGGAAUAUAGAAGAUGAGCAUUUAUUAGGAAGCUUGCAGCUGAUGCUGAGUAGGAAUGAAGACUGAGAUUCCCUACAAAGUUAAGUGAAGAGUAAUAAUUCUGCAAUUUCAGAAGCUUAUAUGGCAAUAUGGAGAAGAACAGAAAGCAGACAAAUAAUUCAAAGAACAAUAGAACUGUGAAAAUUACUCCUUUUUUACCUUAAAAUGCAUUUUCUUCAGUCAUGUAUGCUCAUUGUUUUGUGUUCCGCUUAAGACAUUUGUGGAAGCAAGCUUCUUUCCAGCAGCCAUUAGUAUUUUGUGGGCAAACACAAAAAUCACUAGAUUUUCACGUCUCCAGGCACACAUAGUUUUGUUCAAUUUUUUCAAGCACUCACCCUCUCAGAAAGUAAGAGCAAUCCUGCCCAGCAAGCAAGAACCACCGACAGGUCCCAAGUGAUUACGGGAUGUCUUUGGAGAGUCUUUUUCUGAUGAAAACUUGUCAGCAGAAUCUGUGUUGGAUUCCUGACUGCAGCGUGUUUCUUUCUUGUGCCACAUGUACUAGGAUGAAGGGCAGAGAAGACAGUGAUUUGGGAUAAACCUUGAGCCCUGGGACUGAAAUUCCAGCCCAAAGCCAGCCCAAAAUACUUGAAGGAGAAGAUAUGGAAGUCUGCUAAGGAACAGGAGGGCAAAUCCUUCAUUCUGCUUAUGUAUGUCCAGAUCUGGAAUUUAGAAACACCAUCAAAGGGAAGCAGUAGCUAAGUCCAGGCAGGAAAAGGCAGUAACAACACCUGUGAAGAAAUUUCAAAUACCAGAGCUAAAUCAGAGCAGCCUUAUCAGCGAAAGAUAAAGAUGGUUGAUCUUUUUAAAAUGCCCUUGAAAAAUACCUACCAAAUAUCUACCAAAGCAGAAAGCUGGUUUUGACUCUACUAUAAUUUCAAGGGCAAUACUAAAUUAUUGUGUUACAUAUAGACUCCCUAACUAGUACAACACAAAUCAAUAUAAUGCACACUAGUAUAUAUCCUAUAUUCCUCAUCCAAAACUCUACAUUUCCCUGUCAUGUUUCAACUCUUACAUCCUAUAGCAAUUGAUUCCUAUGUGUUCCCUAAUUUUAAAAAUCUAGCAACAUGGUCAUACUAGCACCACUGCUGUUGUGGCUGAGAAGGACAAGGUGGGGUUUUUACCAUCAGCACUGUUCAGUGUUGGGAGUAAAGCUGGGAGGGAUGAACCCCACCCCUAGGUGAGAUGGAUUGGAGCUAGAAUGCCCAAUCUGCACACAGAUUUGCCAUGCCCUCCUGUCCCUGCUGAGAGCUGACAUGAUUAGAAAGUGAUUAUUUUGGGAGAGAAGGAUUAGCCAGCAUCACACUAACAGAUCAUGUUUUCUGAUGGUUCUGUAGGAAAAAGCUAAGGAGAGAUGGAGAGGUUCUGGGGAUCCAAUUUAGCAGAACUGAAUUUCCUACUUUUUCAGUUUGCCUAACAGUGAGAGAAUACACAGUGAUAUAUAGAGGAAUGUUAACGGGGUCAAAAAUAGUCUGAACUCUCCCAAACAAGCAGCUUCAGGAAAACAAGACCCUGGAAAAUUCCCAGAAAGAACUUAAGAAUCUGAUCAAGAUGAAUAAAAAAAGUGACUUGACACGCUUUAGUUAAAAGUCUUCU